RNAcentral lists this non-coding RNA (29 nucleotides) under Rattus norvegicus (Norway rat). The record is from RNAcentral. Lineage: Eukaryota; Metazoa; Chordata; Mammalia; Rodentia; Muridae.
UAGGUUACUUGCAACCCGGACUUCCCAAG